GAUGAACGCUGGCGGCGUGCCUAAUACAUGCAAGUCGAGCGAACAGAUGAGAAGCUUACUUCUCUGAUGUUAGCGGCGGACGGGUGAGUAACACGUGGGUAACCUACCUAUAAGACUGGGAUAACUCCGGGAAACCGGGGCUAAUACCGGAUAAUAUUUUGAACCGCAUGGUUCAAUAGUGAAAGACGGUUUCGGCUGUCACUUAUAGAUGGACCCGCGCCGUAUUAGCUAGUUGGUAAGGUAACGGCUUACCAAGGCGACGAUACGUAGCCGACCUGAGAGGGUGAUCGGCCACAAUGGAACUGAGACACGGUCCAGACUCCUACGGGAGGCAGCAGUAGGGAAUCUUCCGCAAUGGGCGAAAGCCUGACGGAGCAACGCCGCGUGAGUGAUGAAGGUCUUCGGAUCGUAAAACUCUGUUGUUAGGGAAGAACAAAUUUGUUAGUAACUGAACAAGUCUUGACGGUACCUAACCAGAAAGCCACGGCUAACUACGUGCCAGCAGCCGCGGUAA
RNAcentral lists this ribosomal RNA (514 nucleotides) under uncultured bacterium. RNAcentral's name for it is "partial 16S ribosomal RNA". It matches the Rfam family "Bacterial small subunit ribosomal RNA", at positions 28 to 523 of the family's 1533-position model. The record is from RNAcentral.